AAGAAGCUUCUCUGUUUUUAAAAGACCUAGUAAUAGUUAUGCUUAGGGAGGAGCUUGCCUCACAUAAGUUAGGUGGUGGGGUAAAGGCCUACCAAGACUAUGAUGUGUAGCCGGGCUGAGAGGUUGAACGGCCACAUUGGGACUGAGACACGGCCCAAACUCCUACGGGAGGCAGCGGUAGGGAAUUUUCGGCAAUGGAGGAAACUCUGACCGAGCAACGCCGCGUGAACGAUGAAGUAUUUCGGUACGUAAAGUUCUUUUAUUAGGGAAGAAUAAAUGAUGGAAAAAUCAUUCUGACGGUACCUAAUGAAUAAGCCCCGGCUAACUAUGUGCCAGCAGCCGCGGUAAUACAUAGGGGGCAAGCGUUAUCCGGAAUUAUUGGGCGUAAAGGGUGCGUAGGCGGUUAAAUAAGUUUAUGGUCUAAGUGCAAUGCUCAACAUUGUGAUGCUAUAAAAACUGUUUAGCUAGAGUAAGAUAGAGGCAAGUGGAAUUCCAUGUGUAGUGGUAAAAUGCGUAAAUAUAUGGAGGAACACCAGUAGCGAAGGCGGCUUGUUGGGUCUUUUACUGACGCUGAGGCACGAAAGCGUGGGGAGCAAACAGGAUUAGAUACCCUGGUAGUCCCACGCCGUAAACGAUGAGUACUAAACGUUGGGUAAAACCAGUGUUGAAGUUAACACAUUAAGUACUCCGCCUGAGUAGUACGUACGCAAGUAUGAAACUUAAAGGAAUUGACGGGACUCCGCACAAGCGGUGGAUCAUGUUGUUUAAUUCGAAGGUACCCGAAAAACCUCACCAGGUCUUGACAUGCUUCUGCAAAGCUGUAGAAACACAGUGGAGGUUAUCAGUUGUACAGGUGGUGCAUGGUUGUCGUCAGCUCGUGUCGUGAGAUGUUGGGUUAAGUCCCGCAACGAGCGCAACCCUUAUUGUUAGUUACCAGCACGUAAUGGUGGGGACUUUAGCAAGACUGCCAGUGAUAAAUUGGAGGAAGGUGGGGACGACGUCAAAUCAUCAUGCCCCUUAUGACCUGGGCUACAAACGUGAUACAAUGGCUGUUACAAAGGGUAGCUGAAGCGCAAGUUUUUGGCGAAUCUCAAAAAAACAGUCUCAGUUCGGAUUGAAGUCUGCAACUCGACUUCAUGAAGUUGGAAUCGCUAGUAAUCGC
RNAcentral lists this ribosomal RNA (1162 nucleotides) under 'Carica papaya' phytoplasma. RNAcentral's name for it is "bacterial SSU rRNA". It matches the Rfam family "Bacterial small subunit ribosomal RNA", at positions 184 to 1345 of the family's 1533-position model. Lineage: Bacteria; Bacillati; Mycoplasmatota; Mollicutes; Acholeplasmatales; Acholeplasmataceae. The record is from RNAcentral.